RNAcentral lists this ribosomal RNA (465 nucleotides) under Vreelandella stevensii. RNAcentral's name for it is "partial 16S ribosomal RNA". It matches the Rfam family "Bacterial small subunit ribosomal RNA", at positions 338 to 795 of the family's 1533-position model. Lineage: Bacteria; Pseudomonadati; Pseudomonadota; Gammaproteobacteria; Oceanospirillales; Halomonadaceae. The record is from RNAcentral.
CCUACGGGAGGCAGCAGUGGGGAAUAUUGGACAAUGGGGGCAACCCUGAUCCAGCCAUGCCGCGUGUGUGAAGAAGGCCCUCGGGUUGUAAAGCACUUUCAGUGAGGAAGAACGCCUGGUGGUUAAUACCCAUCAGGAAAGACAUCACUCACAGAAGAAGCACCGGCUAACUCCGUGCCAGCAGCCGCGGUAAUACGGAGGGUGCGAGCGUUAAUCGGAAUUCCUGGGCGUAAAGCGCGCGUAGGUGGCUUGAUAAGCCGGUUGUGAAAGCCCCGGGCUCAACCUGGGAACGGCAUCCGGAACUGUCAAGCUAGAGUGCAGGAGAGGAAGGUAGAAUUCCCGGUGUAGCGGUGGAAUGCGUAGAGAUAGGGAGGAAUACCAGUGGCGAAGGCGGCCUUCUGGACUGACACUGACACUGAGGUGCGAAAGCGUGGGUAGCAAACAGGAUUAGAUACCCCGGUAGUC